ACGGCUUAAUUAAUUUUUAGAUAUUUUUUCGACAAUCAGGUCCCAAAGCAAAAACAAAGAUUCAUUGUAAUUUAAGACUUUUAGGUAUUAGAGACAACAUUAAAAGACCGAUAUGUAGGAUAAAGCAAAAAUCGUAAUUCUCAUAAUUAUUAAUACCGUAUCUGUCUGUCUGUUCUUGUCUUGUCUUCAUAUUGUUGAUUGUGAUUAGACUUUGGUGAUUUUUUUUAUGACUAGAUUUAAAUAUAGUGACAUUGCAGUAUUAUACUUUAAGUACUAGUACUGCUUAAGUCCACACUAGGGACCAUCUUCACCUUGUUUUACGAUCUUUUACGGUAUUAAUGAUUCUUUAAAAGUAUUGUUGAAGACCAUCCGGCAACUAUCAAGAUGAAGAGCAGGAACACAAACUUUGACCAUUGAUCAUUUGUAUUUUUUCUAUGCAUUGACUUUGUGUGCGAUUAUGUCCCCAUACUCCUUUAUUAUCUGUUAAAGGGUCUCAACACGACUUAAUGCAAGUUUAACCUUUCAAUGUAAAAGGUCAUAUAUGGCAAUACCUUGUUUUUUUUCUUCAAAUUAUUUGAUACCGGGAAAUAUGUGACCUUACUUUAAUUCAAACCAUGUCAGCUAUCUAGUUUUAUUUACAAUAAAACAAACUGUUUUGUAUUCUUUGAUAUCAAUUUCAAUUAUCCAUGCAGAAAGGACAUUUUUUUUGUCCACUGAGUAGCAUCGCAUGUUCUUAAAAUAUAUUUCUCGCACAAUUCUGGACAUCGGUGGACAUGCAACAUUGCAAAACCACGUUUACAAAUGAAAAUCAACGCUCAGACUAUAGUCAUAAAGUAGGACAAUAAAUGAACAAAAGACAAACCCGGAACACAGAAGUACAAACAAUAGACCAUCAACUCUGAAAACUAAAAGGAAAAUAGAAACAUGGAUAACGAAAAACAUCCAGGGGAUACACCAGAGAGUGAAGAGAACUUGCUUCUUGCAAGACACUUUCCGUGAAAACAAUUUGAUAUUGUUUCAUUUUUUUAUUUUUUUUUGAAAUUUUUUACAUGAGGCACUU
This 1060-nucleotide long non-coding RNA is filed under the name Mytilus galloprovincialis (Mediterranean mussel). Lineage: Eukaryota; Metazoa; Mollusca; Bivalvia; Mytilida; Mytilidae. The record is from RNAcentral.